CAGCAGCUCAGACACUCAGCAGAGUCUUCAGGAUGCAGCAGGUUGUCUCUGAAGAGUGACUGGUCCAGAAUAACUCCUCCAUACUUCAGUGGUGAACCUGGACCUUCAGACUCAAAGUAAGAAACUCUGACACUCAGAGAGUCU
Molecule: long non-coding RNA, 144 nt
Organism: Salarias fasciatus (jewelled blenny)
Lineage: Eukaryota; Metazoa; Chordata; Actinopteri; Blenniiformes; Blenniidae
Exons: 3
Source: RefSeq, a predicted model, not a curated record